CCAUGAGAGCGGCGCACGGGUGAGUAACGCGUACACGACCUACCUCUGACAGGGGGAUAGCCCUGGGAAACUGGGAUUAAUACCGCAUAUUAUUCUGAUUAAUAAAGGAUUGGAAUGAAAGUUCAGGCGGUCAGAGAUGGGUGUGCGUCUGAUUAGCUAGUUGGUAGGGUAACGGCCUACCAAGGCGAUGAUCAGUAGGGGGCGUGAGAGCGUGAUCCCCCACACGGGUACUGAGACACGGACCCGACUCCUACGGGAGGCAGCAGUAAGGAAUAUUGGACAAUGGCCGAAAGGCUGAUCCAGCCAUCCAGCGUGCAGGAAGAAGGCCCUAUGGGUUGUAAACUGCUUUUAUCAGGGAAUAAACCUCUGGAUUCACUCCGGAGCUGAAGGUACCUGAAGAAUAAGCACCGGCUAACUCCGUGCCAGCAGCCGCGGUAAUACGGAGGGUGCGAGCGUUAUCCGGAAUUACUGGGUUUAAAGGGUGCGUAGGCGGCUUUGUAAGUCAGGAGUGAAAGUUUGCAGCUCAACUGUAAAAUUGCUUUUGAUACUG
RNAcentral lists this ribosomal RNA (550 nucleotides) under uncultured bacterium. Its description in RNAcentral is "bacterial SSU rRNA". It matches the Rfam family "Bacterial small subunit ribosomal RNA", at positions 87 to 635 of the family's 1533-position model. The record is from RNAcentral.